AGGAACACGUGAGAAACCUGCCUUUCAUUCUGGGAUAACACCGGGAAACCGGCGCUAAUACCGGAUACUCCAUCUUGGCGGCAUCGCCGAGCUGGGAAAAAAUUUUGAUGAAAGAUGGUCUCGCGGCCUAUUAGCUAGUUGGUGGGGUAAAAGCCUACCAAGGCGACGAUAGGUAUCCGGUCUGAGAGGAUGAUCGGACACACUGGAACUGAGACACGGUCCAGACUCC
Molecule: ribosomal RNA, 229 nt
Filed under: uncultured bacterium
Lineage: Bacteria
Description: partial 16S ribosomal RNA
Rfam family: Bacterial small subunit ribosomal RNA
Source: RNAcentral